ACGUUGAUAGGCCGGGUGUGUAAGCGCAGCGAUGCGUUGAGCUAACCGGUACUAAUGAACCGUGAGGCUUAACCUUAC
RNAcentral lists this ribosomal RNA (78 nucleotides) under Salmonella enterica subsp. enterica serovar Paratyphi B str. SARA56. RNAcentral describes it as "partial 23S ribosomal RNA". It matches the Rfam family "Bacterial large subunit ribosomal RNA", at positions 2850 to 2925 of the family's 2925-position model. The record is from RNAcentral. Lineage: Bacteria; Pseudomonadati; Pseudomonadota; Gammaproteobacteria; Enterobacterales; Enterobacteriaceae.